This 316-nucleotide long non-coding RNA is filed under the name Brassica napus (rape). RNAcentral describes it as "long non-coding RNA (BNAP_LNC014860)". The record is from RNAcentral. Lineage: Eukaryota; Viridiplantae; Streptophyta; Magnoliopsida; Brassicales; Brassicaceae.
CAUGCGACCUGCGAUUGGUCGCAAGUCGCAAGUCGCAGGUUGUUGUUCGUUUUGAUGUCGCGCGACUGAUCGCGCGACCAGUCGCGGGUUCCCAUCUAAGUCGCCCGAAAAAACAGCGACUAAAAAUUAAGAAAAUUUUGAUCGCGCGACUGGUCGCAGGUCGCAGAUCGCAGGUCGCGCGACACGUAAACGAACAUAGUUUUAGUCGCAGGUCGCAGGUUUAGUCGCAGGUCGCAAGUCGCAGGUCGCGCGACACGUAAACGAACGUAAUCUUAGUCGCAGGUCGCAGGUCGCGCGACACGUAAACGAACAUGGC